Molecule: unclassified non-coding RNA, 1801 nt
Filed under: uncultured fungus
Lineage: Eukaryota; Fungi
Description: sequence contains 18S rRNA gene, ITS1, 5.8S rRNA gene, ITS2, 28S rRNA gene
Rfam family: Eukaryotic large subunit ribosomal RNA (bases 680-1801)
Source: RNAcentral
GGAAGGAUCAUUAUCAAUGUUAAUAAAACUACACCUUAUCUUUUUUGGAAGGGAGGGUUUACUCUCUCUCUUUCACAAAAAGAUAGGCACACUUUGUGAAUAACUAUGAAGUCCAUUUAUAACCAAUUUUUACUCCGUAGUCUAAUAUUUCUAUUUUUUUGAUACCUUCUUUGCUGUACUUAGGUACUUCAAAGUAGGCUAAAGAAGAAUAAAAAACCACAUUACAAUCUUUAACGAUGGAUAUCUCGGCUCGUGUAACGAUGAAGAGCGCAGCAAAAUGCGAUAACUAGUGUGAAUUGCAGAAUUCUGUGAAUCAUCGAACUCUUGAACGCAAACUGCGCCUUGAGGCUAUCCUCGAGGCACACCUGUUUGAGUGUCGACAAAUUCUCUAUCCAACUCUAAUAGGUUUUCGAACCUGUUUUAGAUGGGAUCAUGACAGUGUAGAGGGACUGGUUUCGACCUUUGGACUCAACUCUGUUUAAAUGUAUUGGUUGAAUUUACUUCUACAAAGUAAAGUGAAAACUACCACCUUUGGUUUGAGGAAUUUAAUUCCAACUUCCUUAGGUGUUUCUCUUUCUACUUUUGUAUUCAAGUUCUUUCAAAAUCCACUAAGGAACAAAAAUGUUUGUUUUUUUUUUUGAAGAGUCUCUCUUCGAAUCAACCAAACUACAACCAUAUUCGACCUCAAAUCAGGUGGGAUUACCCCCUGAAUUUAAGCAUAUAAAUAAGGGGAGGAAAAGAAAGUAACCACGAUUCCCUUAGUAAAGGCGAUUGAACAGGGAAAAGCUCAAUCCGAAUCUAGCAGGUUUCCUGCUCGAAUUGUAGUUUUUGAAGUGUUUAUAUGAGAUGAACUCAGUAUAAGUUACCUGGAACGGUACGCCAUAGAGGGUGACAGCCCCGUAUAUGAUUGAGGUUUUCCAUUUCUAUCCGUAAACAACUUCUAGAGUCGGGCUGUUUGAUAGUAUAGCCCAAAGUGCGAGGUAAGUUCCUCGUAAAGCUAAAUACAGACGCGAGACCGAUAGCGAACAAGUACCGUGAGGGAAAGAUGCAAAGAACUUUGAAAAGAGAGUUAAAAGUACUUGAAAUCGUUGGAGAGGAAGCGAUUGGCAACUAGUGAUUGAAUAGGGUUGAUUCGUGGUAGAAAGGGUGGAAAAGGGGUGAAAUGAGUUGCAUUUUUGUAAACCAUGUAAUUUCUUUCAAUUCAUUCUUGAUAUCAUUACUUCAAUCUUAUCGGAUCAGUAUCUAUGGACUUUCGAUUAGAAUGGGAAGGGGGAGGUAGCCUGGGGUUUUCUCUGGGUGUUUAACCCUUUUCAGAUAGUCUUAAGAUUCUAUAGAGGGUACAAAUUGGUGCUUGGCGGGGUAUGUAGGGUCCUAAGGGGGAUUUAUUUUGAGGACUGCUUGCAGUGUUUGAGAUACUUUCUUUUUACCGAUUUUACACCACCUACCAAUUCGUGAUGCUGAUGAAAUGGUUCCAACCGACCCGUCUUGAAACACGGACCAAGGAGUCUAACAUAUGUGCAAGUCACUGGGUAAUAAACCUUGGGGCGUAAUGAAAGUGAAACAUGGUGUGAUAGGUGUUAAAUCCUUGCAACAUCGACCGAUCCAUUCUCCUUUUUAUAGGUGAUAGAUUUGAGUAAGAGCAUAUCUGUUGGGACCCGAAAGAUGGUGAACUAUGCCCGCAUAGGGUGAGGCCAGAAGAAAUUCUGGUGGAGGCUCGUAGCGAUACUGACGUGCAAAUCGUUCGUCAAAUGUGGGUAUAGCGGCGAAAGACUAAUCGAACCGUCUAGUAGCUGGUUUCCUC